GUGGGGAAUAUUGGACAAUGGGCGAAAGCCUGAUCCAGCCAUGCCGCGUGUGUGAAGAAGGUCUUCGGAUUGUAAAGCACUUUAAGUUGGGAGGAAGGGCAGUAAGUUAAUACCUUGCUGUUUUGACGUUACCGACAGAAUAAGCACCGGCUAACUUCGUGCCAGCAGCCGCGGUAAUACGAAGGGUGCAAGCGUUAAUCGGAAUUACUGGGCGUAAAGCGCGCGUAGGUGGUUUUGUAAGUUGGAGGUGAAAUCCCCGGGCUCAUCCUGGGAACUGCCUCCAAAACUGCAUGACUAGAGUACGGUAGAGGGUAGUGGAAUUUCCUGUGUAGCGGUGAAAUGCGUAGAUAUAGGAAGGAACACCAGUGGCGAAGGCGACUACCUGGACUGAUACUGACACUGAGGUGCGAAAGCGUGGGGAGCAAACAGGAUUAGAAACCCCUGUAGUCC
This 450-nucleotide ribosomal RNA is filed under the name uncultured bacterium. RNAcentral describes it as "partial 16S ribosomal RNA". It matches the Rfam family "Bacterial small subunit ribosomal RNA", at positions 354 to 796 of the family's 1533-position model. The record is from RNAcentral.